CAAAUGGAAACUCUGCGUCUC
RNAcentral lists this microRNA (21 nucleotides) under Ananas comosus (pineapple). RNAcentral describes it as "microRNA s0969_c124a". The record is from RNAcentral. Lineage: Eukaryota; Viridiplantae; Streptophyta; Magnoliopsida; Poales; Bromeliaceae.